This 279-nucleotide long non-coding RNA is filed under the name Elaeis guineensis (African oil palm). RNAcentral describes it as "long non-coding RNA (EGUI_LNC036160)". Lineage: Eukaryota; Viridiplantae; Streptophyta; Magnoliopsida; Arecales; Arecaceae. The record is from RNAcentral.
GCCCUCUCUCAAAAAUUUUCACACCUCUUUAAGCAACUCCCUACUUUGAUGCGAGUGCUCCCACUCCCGCUCUCUCUAUUUCAUGUAGCCAUCAUUAUGGGUGACAGCAUCAGCCACCUCCUGCUAGGGACUUCUACUUCAAGUUUCCUUGGUUGAGCUCUAGGUACCGCUCCCCUCAUGUAUCGAUCAGGGUUGAGAUGAUGCCCUCAUUCUAGUAGUCCUUGCCACCACUGUUAGAGGGUCUGUGGAUGGGGAGGAUGAGGAUAAGAGUGUGUUGGG